UCGAUAAUGCCUCCUCUUUCGGUGACGGAUACGGGUUAGAGGUGUUAUGUUUUAUUGGUAUCAGAGAUAUAGUUUAGUCGAUUCUAGGACUAACGUAGUAAUUAAGAGUCUAGCUAUGCAUGCCAUAUAUAUAAACUACGAUAGUGUGAUGAUUACUGACAGUUAAAAUGUGUUUUUAUGUAGCAAAUGGAUCCAGAACAAGCCAUAGCUGACGAUAUGGAAAGUAAUACGCCCG
This 235-nucleotide long non-coding RNA is filed under the name Gossypium barbadense (sea-island cotton). RNAcentral describes it as "long non-coding RNA (GBAR_LNC006498)". Lineage: Eukaryota; Viridiplantae; Streptophyta; Magnoliopsida; Malvales; Malvaceae. The record is from RNAcentral.